UGGUUUUAAAGUCGCCAGUGGUGGUUUAGGUGGCUUUGGAUGAGAUCACGGGAUAGUCUCGAUGAAGUUCUCCGUUGGAAAGAUUGUAGGCGACGUAGGUGGGUGCGGUGGUUCCGGCUCCGGCAUGAUCCGGCGAAACACGUGUUCGUUUUCGUCUCGUCUGGCAUGAGCCUCGUAGGUUGGGUCGUGGUGAUCGGGUG
Molecule: long non-coding RNA, 200 nt
Filed under: Brassica napus (rape)
Lineage: Eukaryota; Viridiplantae; Streptophyta; Magnoliopsida; Brassicales; Brassicaceae
Description: long non-coding RNA (BNAP_LNC020694)
Source: RNAcentral